Molecule: transfer RNA, 73 nt
Filed under: Stegodyphus mimosarum
Lineage: Eukaryota; Metazoa; Arthropoda; Arachnida; Araneae; Eresidae
Description: tRNA-Thr for anticodon CGU
Rfam family: tRNA
About the family: Transfer RNA (tRNA) molecules are approximately 80 nucleotides in length. Their secondary structure includes four short double-helical elements and three loops (D, anti-codon, and T loops).
Source: Rfam by way of RNAcentral
GCCUUCGUGGUGUAGUGGUCAGCACGCUCGACGCGUAUUCGAGAGGUCUGUGGUUCGAAUCCCAGCGAGGGCA